This 75-nucleotide transfer RNA is filed under the name Candidatus Colwellbacteria bacterium CG_4_9_14_0_2_um_filter_50_12. RNAcentral describes it as "tRNA-Thr". It matches the Rfam family "tRNA". Rfam says of the family: Transfer RNA (tRNA) molecules are approximately 80 nucleotides in length. The record is from RNAcentral. Lineage: Bacteria; Candidatus Colwelliibacteriota.
GCCACCUUAGCUCAGCGGUAGAGCGGCACUUUCGUAAAGUGAAGGUCCCGAGUUCGAAUCUCGGAGGUGGCUCAA